AAAGUUGGAACAUACUAAAUGUAUGCCUACCAUGAAGCCUUGAAUCUUAGUCCAUCUUCGACGGAGGUAGUAAAAAGGCAUAUCUGAUGCCUAUUUUCCGCUGCCUUCUACCUCGUAUGUAUGGGCGACAUCUCUAGAUUGCUUGAAUAUCCCUUUGGAUUACAUGCAGCUGCUAGCGCAGUUCACAGAUCAAAUAGAGGUGGUCCCUUGAGUUCCGCGUUCUAUCACUAUAAAUGUGAUAUGAUGUAGG
Molecule: unclassified non-coding RNA, 250 nt
Filed under: plant metagenome
Description: partial contains small subunit ribosomal RNA, internal transcribed spacer 1, and 5.8S ribosomal RNA
Source: RNAcentral